GCUCCUUGUCCCGAGACCGCGA
RNAcentral lists this microRNA (22 nucleotides) under Sus scrofa (pig). RNAcentral describes it as "ssc-miR-7144-3p". Lineage: Eukaryota; Metazoa; Chordata; Mammalia; Artiodactyla; Suidae. The record is from miRBase by way of RNAcentral.